RNAcentral lists this long non-coding RNA (580 nucleotides) under Monodelphis domestica (gray short-tailed opossum). Its description in RNAcentral is "lncRNA (ENSMODG00000047974.1)". The record is from RNAcentral. Lineage: Eukaryota; Metazoa; Chordata; Mammalia; Didelphimorphia; Didelphidae.
GUUCAGUCUCCUGUAGACGGAAGAAAAAAGCAGAGCUCCAGAUGUAAAGCCUGAGCUGCUUUUCCUAUGAGAGUUGAGUGAAUCAAUGUGCUCCUGUUGGGAGAUUUAUAUGAGCAUCUCAAGGACUUCCCAUAUGUCACUGGGAAAAGAAAGACUAUCUCUGUUUAUACUAUUCACUAUGCCAAAGCAUCAGAACUGAGGGGGAAUGGCUGUACUAUCCCAGCAAUGUCUACACUGCCAACCUGUGUGUUUUCUGGUUUUGAAGAAAUUUUUGAGAAACUAUUUUUGAGGGAAUUUGGAUGGAAACUUAAGGCCUUAGAGAAAUUGAUCAGUUGUUCCUGUGUAGGAUCCUGAGUUCCUGUAACCAGGAUCUCCAGCAAUGGCUCUAUUUAUCAGGCAAUCAGAGGGGACAAUGGAAUCAUGUGCACACCGCUGUGGAGAGCAACUGAACAAGGCAGCUGACUGCCAGUGCAACCAUCAGUGUGAGCAGCACAAGGACUGCUGUGAGGACUACGAGAAACUGUGUACAAGUCAAGAAGAGCCCAAAGAAAUGGAGACAGAGACAGAAUGGGAAGAAGAG